RNAcentral lists this ribosomal RNA (544 nucleotides) under uncultured bacterium. Its description in RNAcentral is "bacterial SSU rRNA". It matches the Rfam family "Bacterial small subunit ribosomal RNA", at positions 42 to 571 of the family's 1533-position model. The record is from RNAcentral.
GCGUGCCUACACAUGCAAGUCGAACGCGAACGUCCUUCGGGACAAGUAGAGUGGCGAACGGGUGAGUAACGCGUGGGUAAUCUGCCCUCGAGUGGGGGAUAACUUCGGGAAACUGAAGCUAAUACCGCAUAAUGGUUCUUUCCUACGGGAAAGCACACAAAGGUGGGGAUCUUCGGGCCUGCCGCUUGAGGAUGAGCCCGCGUACCAUUAGGUAGUUGGUGGGGUAAUGGCCUACCAAGCCGAAGAUGGUUAGCUGGUCUGAGAGGAUGAUCAGCCACACUGGGACUGAGACACGGCCCAGACUCCUACGGGAGGCAGCAGUGGGGAAUAUUGCGCAAUGGGCGAAAGCCUGACGCAGCAACGCCGCGUGCGUGAAGAAGGCCCUCGGGUCGUAAAGCGCUAUAAAGUGAGAAGAGCAGGUAGUGGUUAAUACCCUCUGCCCCGACGGUAUCACUAGACAAAGCACCGGCUAACUCCGUGCCAGCAGCCGCGGUAAUACGGAGGGUGCAAGCGUNGUUCGGAAUUAUUGGGCGUAAAGGGCGCG